RNAcentral lists this ribosomal RNA (1026 nucleotides) under Microbacterium sp. Its description in RNAcentral is "bacterial SSU rRNA". It matches the Rfam family "Bacterial small subunit ribosomal RNA", at positions 56 to 1091 of the family's 1533-position model. Lineage: Bacteria; Bacillati; Actinomycetota; Actinomycetes; Micrococcales; Microbacteriaceae. The record is from RNAcentral.
UGCAAGUCGAACGGUGAACCAGGAGCUUGCUCUUGGGGAUCAGUGGCGAACGGGUGAGUAACACGUGAGCAACCUGCCCCUGACUCUGGGAUAAGCGCUGGAAACGGCGUCUAAUACUGGAUACGAACCACGAAGGCAUCUUCAGUGGUUGGAAAGAUUUUUUGGUUGGGGAUGGGCUCGCGGCCUAUCAGCUUGUUGGUGAGGUAAUGGCUCACCAAGGCGUCGACGGGUAGCCGGCCUGAGAGGGUGACCGGCCACACUGGGACUGAGACACGGCCCAGACUCCUACGGGAGGCAGCAGUGGGGAAUAUUGCACAAUGGGCGGAAGCCUGAUGCAGCAACGCCGCGUGAGGGAUGACGGCCUUCGGGUUGUAAACCUCUUUUAGCAGGGAAGAAGCGAAAGUGACGGUACCUGCAGAAAAAGCGCCGGCUAACUACGUGCCAGCAGCCGCGGUAAUACGUAGGGCGCAAGCGUUAUCCGGAAUUAUUGGGCGUAAAGAGCUCGUAGGCGGUUUGUCGCGUCUGCUGUGAAAUCCCGAGGCUCAACCUCGGGCCUGCAGUGGGUACGGGCAGACUAGAGUGCGGUAGGGGAGAUUGGAAUUCCUGGUGUAGCGGUGGAAUGCGCAGAUAUCAGGAGGAACACCGAUGGCGAAGGCAGAUCUCUGGGCCGUAACUGACGCUGAGGAGCGAAAGGGUGGGGAGCAAACAGGCUUAGAUACCCUGGUAGUCCACCCCGUAAACGUUGGGAACUAGUUGUGGGGUCCAUUCCACGGAUUCCGUGACGCAGCUAACGCAUUAAGUUCCCCGCCUGGGGAGUACGGCCGCAAGGCUAAAACUCAAAGGAAUUGACGGGGACCCGCACAAGCGGCGGAGCAUGCGGAUUAAUUCGAUGCAACGCGAAGAACCUUACCAAGGCUUGACAUAUACGAGAACGGGCCAGAAAUGGUCAACUCUUUGGACACUCGUAAACAGGUGGUGCAGGGUUGUCGUCAGCUCGUGUCGGGGAAUGUUGGGUUAAGUCCCGCA